RNAcentral lists this ribosomal RNA (367 nucleotides) under Gennadas valens. Its description in RNAcentral is "partial 12S ribosomal RNA". The record is from RNAcentral. Lineage: Eukaryota; Metazoa; Arthropoda; Malacostraca; Decapoda; Benthesicymidae.
UGUUACUCUUUGUUUUAAGAAAAAAUACCUGGGUACUAACCAGUUAUAGUCUUGAAACUCAAAGGAUUUGGCGGUAACUUAGUCUAUUUAGAGGAACCUGUUCUGUAAACGAUAAACCACGCAAAAUCUUACCUUAUUUUGUAGGACCAGUUUGUAUACCGUCAUUAUUAGGGAACCUUAAUAAAGUUAAGUUGCUGUAAUAAUUUCUUUUAUUAGUAUAUUAGAUCAAGGUGCAACUUAUAAUAAGGCAGAAAUGGGUUACAAUGGAAUAUCUUCAAACGGAUUCAAGAGGUAAGUACCCUUUAUGAAGGUGGAUUUAAUAGUACAAAGAUUUUAAAAUGUUCUUUUGACUUUAGCUCUAGGUUAU